GGCGUGGAUAAGACAUGCAAGUCGAACGCUGAUUUGUCGGUAGCAAUAUUGGCAAGUCGGAGUGGCGCAAGGGUGCGUAACACGUGGGUAAUCUGCCGUGAAGCCCGGGAUAACUCGCUGAAAGGCGAGCUAAUACCGGAUGUGAAUUUUUGGGGGCCUCCUCUGGAAUUCAAAGCUGGGGACCGCAAGGCCUGGCACUUCACGAUGAGCCCGCGGCCUAUCAGCUAGUUGGUGAGGUAACGGCUCACCAAGGCUUAGACGGGUAGCUGGUCUGAGAGGACGACCAGCCACACUGGAACUGAGACACGGUCCAGACACCUACGGGUGGCAGCAGUCGAGAAUUUUUCUCAAUGGGCGAAAGCCUGAAGGAGCGACGCCGCGUGGGGGAUGAAUGGCUUCGGCCCGUAAAGCCCUGUCAUUUGCGAACAAAUUAUUUUACCUAACA
This 445-nucleotide ribosomal RNA is filed under the name uncultured bacterium. RNAcentral's name for it is "bacterial SSU rRNA". It matches the Rfam family "Bacterial small subunit ribosomal RNA", at positions 41 to 465 of the family's 1533-position model. The record is from RNAcentral.